Molecule: ribosomal RNA, 403 nt
Filed under: uncultured bacterium
Lineage: Bacteria
Description: bacterial SSU rRNA
Rfam family: Bacterial small subunit ribosomal RNA
Source: RNAcentral
AACGAACGCUGGCGGCGCGCCUAAUACAUGCAAGUCGAGCGAGAAGACGUAGCAAUACGUUUGUAAAGCGGCGAACGGGUGAGGAAUACAUGGGUAACCUACCCUCGAGUGGGGAAUAACUAGCCGAAAGGUUAGCUAAUACCGCGUACGCUCCCUGGACUUCGGUUCAGGGAGGAAAGCGAUACCGUGGGUAUCGCGCUCUUGGAUGGGCUCAUGUCCUAUCAGCUUGUUGGUGAGGUAACGGCUCACCAAGGCUUCGACGGGUAGCUGGUCUGAGAGGACGAUCAGCCACACUGGCACUGCGACACGGGCCAGACUCCUACGGGAGGCAGCAGUAAGGAAUAUUGCGCAAUGGGCGAAAGCCUGACGCAGCGACGCCGCGUGGGGGAUGAAGGUCUUCGGA